This 492-nucleotide ribosomal RNA is filed under the name uncultured bacterium. RNAcentral's name for it is "partial 16S ribosomal RNA". It matches the Rfam family "Bacterial small subunit ribosomal RNA", at positions 29 to 507 of the family's 1533-position model. The record is from RNAcentral.
AUUGAACGCUGGCGGCAUGCUUUACACAUGCAAGUCGAACGGUAACAGGCCUUCGGGUGCUGACGAGUGGCGAACGGGUGAGUAAUGCAUCGGAACGUACCCAGAGGUGGGGGAUAACGCAGCGAAAGCGGUGCUAAUACCGCAUGUGAUCUGAGGAUGAAAGCGGGGGACCGAGCAGCAAUGUUUGGCCUCGCGCCUUUGUAGCGGCCGAUGUCGGAUUAGCUAGUUGGUGGGGUAAAGGCCUACCAAGGCGACGAUCCGUAGCUGGUCUGAGAGGACGACCAGCCACACUGGGACUGAGACACGGCCCAGACUCCUACGGGAGGCAGCAGUGGGGAAUUUUGGACAAUGGGCGCAAGCCUGAUCCAGCAAUGCCGCGUGCGGGAAGAAGGCCUUCGGGUUGUAAACCGCUUUUGGCAGGAACGAAACGGUGUCCGCUAAUACCGGGCGCUAAUGACGGUACCUGCAGAAUAAGCACCGGCUAACUACGUG